UGCUGUCCUCUAAAAAUUCUUUGGCUCCUUUGCGUAGUAUCAGGAGAGUUACAGUUUUCCGAGAUGAUUUCAACCAUUUUGACAAAAGCCAUUACAAGAUGGAGGUUGAUGCCACCUGAGGCGGAAAUGGGGAAUUCCAAAUAUACACCCCGGAACACCGGAAUCUGUACACUGCUAAUGGAUAUCUAUAUAUUAAACCAACAUUGACUAUCGACCAUCCUGCAUU
Saccostrea echinata is the source of this 226-nucleotide long non-coding RNA. RefSeq lists it as uncharacterized. The transcript has 3 exons. Lineage: Eukaryota; Metazoa; Mollusca; Bivalvia; Ostreida; Ostreidae. The record is from RefSeq and is a predicted model, not a curated record.